Long non-coding RNA from Oncorhynchus kisutch (coho salmon), 1295 nucleotides. RefSeq lists it as uncharacterized. NCBI's taxonomy places the organism in Eukaryota, Metazoa, Chordata, Actinopteri, Salmoniformes, Salmonidae. The record is from RefSeq and is a predicted model, not a curated record. The transcript is spliced from 4 exons.
CCUUUGUUAUGAGGGAGAGCGUCUUGGUAUGUGCUGGUCUGGUAAAUUUGUUGUAAAGUAGUUUGUAGCCUGCAGAGGAAGGCACCUUGGGAGUGUUUAGGCAAGAGGCCUGCAGGCAUACAUAUACCCAUUGUAUGUAAUCUGUCUAGGCACACUAGUAAGACCUGGGUGGACCACCCCCUGUGCCAGGUGGCAUUGAGAGUAGGUGGGUAGGCAGGCUAUGCUGCUGCCUCUUCUGUCCAGCACCUUUUUGGCCACUUUACUGUGACGAGAACAAAUUCCCUGUAAACGUAGCUACUAUCUUGUCUCAUCGCUACAACUCCCGCACGGGCUCGGGAGAGACGAAGGUUGAAAGUCAUGCGUCCUCCGAUACACAACCCAGCCAGCCGUACUGCUUCUUAACACAGCGCGCAUCCAACCCGGAAGCCAGCUGCACCAAUGUGUCGGAGGGUGCACCUGGAAACCUUGGUUAGCUCGCACUGUGCCCAGCCCGCCACAGGUGUCGCUGGUGCGCGAUGAGACAAGGACAUCCCUACCAACCAAGCCCUCCCUCGGACGACGCUAGGCCAAUUGUACGUCGCCCCACGGACGUCGCGGCCGGUUACGACAGAGCCUGGGCGCGAACCCAGGGACUCUGAUGGCACAGCUGGCGCUGCAGUACACUGCGACACCCGGGAGGCCCUGUUGAGAUUACAUUAACAGUAUGUACCCUAUGCAUAGUAUAGUGAUCAAUGCCGUUUGAGAUGCUUUCUUAUAGCACUUGCGACCUUUGCAUGCUAUCUUGAACAUGAACACUUUCUAUGAUUACGUAAGAGGACAUAAGUUACAGUAACCUCAAUGUGGUCACAGAUGUGUUACUCUUUAGGCCAUUAACUGUAUAAUAAAAGUAAUUUUGACUUGUUCUGUUGACCAGGCAACCAAAUAUCAACAUUUUUAAAGGAGAGCUACUGCUUGGAUAGCUCCAUCUGAGCCACUGACUUAAUCCCAUUUAACUUUUAUUUUUGGUUGAGUUGGAGAUGUAAAUCCUACAUAAAAAAUAAAGAAACUUGUCAACAAAAACAAAUAUCACCAUUUAAAACAAGAUAUACCUACUGGCUUCGGUUCCAGUUUGUGGUAUGAUUGUGAAACAGAUUGUCUGAGUGGCAGAAUGAGAGAAAUGUUGUAGCUUAGCUGUGAAUGUCUGCUUGAGAGAAAUGCCGCCCUCGAGUGUUCUCUCCCUAUCCCAGUCUGUUGUCCCCACGUUCUUCAAGAUGUCCACCAUUGUUCCUGUACCCAAGAAAGCAAAGGUAACUGAA